AACGAACGCUGGCGGCAUGCCUAACACAUGCGAGUCGAACGAGACCUUCGGGUCUAGUGGCGCACGGGUGCGUAACGCGUGGGAACCUGCCUUUAGGUUCGGAAUAACUCAGAGAAAUUUGAGCUAAUACCGGAUGAUGUCUUCGGACCAAAGAUUUAUCGCCUUUAGAUGGGCCCGCGUUGGAUUAGCUAGUUGGUGGGGUGAAGGCCUACCAAGGCGACGAUCCAUAGCUGGUCUGAGAGGAUGAUCAGCCACACUGGGACUGAGACACGGCCCAGACUCCUACGGGAGGCAGCAGUGGGGAAUAUUGGACAAUGGGCGAAAGCCUGAUCCAGCAAUGCCGCGUGAGUGAUGAAGGCCUUAGGGUUGUAAAGCUCUUUUACCCGAGAUGAUAAUGACAGUAUCGGGAGAAUAAGCUCCGGCUAACUCCGUG
This 433-nucleotide ribosomal RNA is filed under the name uncultured bacterium. Its description in RNAcentral is "partial 16S ribosomal RNA". It matches the Rfam family "Bacterial small subunit ribosomal RNA", at positions 29 to 507 of the family's 1533-position model. The record is from RNAcentral.